Molecule: transfer RNA, 71 nt
Filed under: Mustela putorius furo (domestic ferret)
Lineage: Eukaryota; Metazoa; Chordata; Mammalia; Carnivora; Mustelidae
Rfam family: tRNA
About the family: Transfer RNA (tRNA) molecules are approximately 80 nucleotides in length. Their secondary structure includes four short double-helical elements and three loops (D, anti-codon, and T loops). Further hydrogen bonds mediate the characteristic L-shaped molecular structure. tRNAs have two regions of fundamental functional importance: the anti-codon, which is responsible for specific mRNA codon recognition, and the 3' end, to which the tRNAs corresponding amino acid is attached (by aminoacyl-tRNA synthetases). tRNAs cope with the degeneracy of the genetic code in two manners: having more than one tRNA (with a specific anti-codon) for a particular amino acid; and 'wobble' base-pairing, i.e. permitting non-standard base-pairing at the 3rd anti-codon position.
Source: Rfam by way of RNAcentral
ACCUGGCUGGCUCAGUUGGUAGAGCAUGUGAUUCUUGAUCUCAGGGUUAAGUUCAAGCCCCAUGCUGGGUA